RNAcentral lists this ribosomal RNA (435 nucleotides) under uncultured Anaerolineaceae bacterium. RNAcentral describes it as "bacterial SSU rRNA". It matches the Rfam family "Bacterial small subunit ribosomal RNA", at positions 930 to 1382 of the family's 1533-position model. The record is from RNAcentral. Lineage: Bacteria; Bacillati; Chloroflexota; Anaerolineae; Anaerolineales; Anaerolineaceae.
CAGCGGAGCGUGUGGUUUAAUUCGUUGCUACACGAAGAACCUUACCUGGGUUUGACAUAUAGGUUGUAGGGAACUGAAAGGGACGACCCUUCGGGAGCCUAUACAGGUGUUGCAUGGCUGUCGUCAGCUCGUGUCGUGAGAUGUUCGGUUAAGUCCGCUAACGAGCGCAACCCUCGUCGUAUGUUAUAUGUGUCAUACGAGACUGCCGGUAAAAGCCGGAGGAAGGUGAGGAUGAUGUCAAGUCAGCAUGACCUUUAUAUCCAGGGCUACACACACGCUACAAUGGUCUGUACAAUGGGUAGCCAAGCCGCGAGGCGGAGCCAAUCCUGAAAGCAGGCCUCAGUUCAGAUUGCAGUCUGCAACUCGACUGCAUGAAGCCGGAGUUGCUAGUAACCGCAGGUCAGCAAUACUGCGGUGAAUACGUUCCCGGGUCUU